AGUAACACGUAGGUAAUCUACCUUUGAGUGGGGAAUAACUUAGGGAAACUUAAGCUAAUACCGCAUAAUGCAGCGGCAUCGCAAGAUGACAGUUGUUAAAGGAGCAAUCCGCUUAAAGAGGAGCCUGCGGCAGAUUAGGUAGUUGGUAAGGUAAUGGCUUACCAAGCCUACGAUCUGUAGCCGACCUGAGAGGGUGGUCGGUCACACUGACACUGAAUAACGGGUCAG
This 228-nucleotide ribosomal RNA is filed under the name uncultured bacterium. Its description in RNAcentral is "partial 16S ribosomal RNA". It matches the Rfam family "Bacterial small subunit ribosomal RNA", at positions 109 to 334 of the family's 1533-position model. The record is from RNAcentral.